AUUGAACGCUGGCGGCAGGCCUAACACAUGCCAGUCGAACGGUAACAGGAAGAAGCUUGCUUCUUUGCUGACGAGUGGCGGACGGGUGAGUAAUGUCUGGGAAACUGCCUGAUGGAGGGGGAUAACUACUGGAAACGGUAGCUAAUACCGCAUAACGUCGCAAGACCGAAGAGGGGGACCUUCGGGCCUCUUGCCCUCGGAUGUGCCCAGAUGGGAUUAGCUAGUAGGUGGGGUAACGGCUCACCUAGGCGACGAUCCCUAGCUGGUCUGAGAGGAUGACCAGCCACACUGGAACUGAGACACGGUCCAGACUCCUACGGGAGGCAGCAGUGGGGAAUAUUGCACAAUGGGCGCAAGCCUGAUGCAGCCAUGCCGCGUGUAUGAAGAAGGCCUUCGGGUUGUAAAGUACUUUCAGCGGGGAGGAAGGGAGUAAAGUUAAUACCUUUGCUCAUUGACGUUACCCGCAGAAGAAGCACCGGCUAACUCCGUG
RNAcentral lists this ribosomal RNA (490 nucleotides) under uncultured bacterium. RNAcentral's name for it is "partial 16S ribosomal RNA". It matches the Rfam family "Bacterial small subunit ribosomal RNA", at positions 30 to 507 of the family's 1533-position model. The record is from RNAcentral.